AAUCUUUUCUUUGUCGCCAGGUGUGGCGCGCAUUGCCGCAUGCCAUGCGGUGCUGGCUUCAAUGGCGUAGCGGCCCCGAGAUGAGUUCUCCCUGACUCCUUGAGAGUCCUGAAGGAACGUUGAAGACGGCGACGUUGAUAGGCCGGGUGUGUAAGCGCAGCGAUGCGUUGAGCUAACCGGGACUAAUGAACCGUGAGGCUUAUCCUU
Molecule: ribosomal RNA, 207 nt
Filed under: Escherichia coli
Lineage: Bacteria; Pseudomonadati; Pseudomonadota; Gammaproteobacteria; Enterobacterales; Enterobacteriaceae
Description: partial 23S ribosomal RNA
Rfam family: Bacterial large subunit ribosomal RNA
Source: RNAcentral